UAUAGUGGACAUUGUUGAAAGCGCGGUUGAAAGUAACAGAAUUUUUCGUAAAUAACAAAAAAUAUCUUCUAAUUUUAAUGUAAAUUAAAAAUAUAUUUCAAUAAUUGAGUUCAGUGUGAUAUAAAUAUUCAAGACUUGAACUAAUUUUUGUUGAGUCAAAAUAUAGAAUGAAGUCAUCUCAGAAAAAAAGGAAUAUUUAAUUCUUCUUAACAAAGGUGUCCAAUUCGUGAAAGAUGGGUGUUUGUUGCGGAGCUGCUCCUGGAGGAGAUCUUGCAUAUAGCUGAGUCGCAGUUCAAUUCAAUUGGUCCAGUUGAGGAAAGAUUGACCCACUUAAAAAAGGAAUAUAUUGUCAUCGUAUUUUUUACACAACGCAAAAUUUCCCUUUAUAUAGGUAAUUGGUCCAAAAAAAGAAAGAUUUGUCCUUUUAUAAAAAAGAUAUGCUGUCAUCUUAUCUCUAACGCUACGCAGAAAUUUCAUCACAUCGGUAACUCUUUUUUAAUAUAGUUAAUUUUAUAUGCAAAUUUAAAAAUUAUAAUUGAAUUCACACAUAUGCUAAUUACAAAUUUUUCGGAUUUUUUUAAACACCAUUUUAAAAUAAAAUAUGACUU
Leptopilina boulardi is the source of this 608-nucleotide RNA transcript. RefSeq lists it as uncharacterized. The transcript has 5 exons. The record is from RefSeq and is a predicted model, not a curated record. Lineage: Eukaryota; Metazoa; Arthropoda; Insecta; Hymenoptera; Figitidae.